Molecule: ribosomal RNA, 253 nt
Filed under: uncultured bacterium
Lineage: Bacteria
Description: partial 16S ribosomal RNA
Rfam family: Bacterial small subunit ribosomal RNA
Source: RNAcentral
UACGGAGGGUGCGAGCGUUAUUCGGAAUUACUGGGCGUAAAGGGCGCGCAGGCGGCUUUGCAAGACUGAUGUGAAAUCCCCGGGCUCAACCUCGGAACUGCAUUUGUGACUGCAAGGCUAGAGUACGGCAGAGGGGGAUGGAAUUCCUCGUGUAGCAGUGAAAUGCGUAGAUAUGCGGAGGAACACCAAUGGCGAAGGCAACCCCCUGGGCCUGUACUGACGCUCAUGCACGAAAGCGUGGGGAGCAAACAGG